GCUGCGGGAGCUGCCUGGGGACGCUCAUCCCUGGCCGGAGUCCUGACUUCCUUCCUGGACCCAGAUCUCGCUGCUGUCCCGGGGCCGCCACCGGAUUUUCUCCCGGAUCCUGUUCCUCCUUAGCCUCCUUUCUCCUGCCUCCUCGGCUUCCAUCUCCCGACUCCGCGUUUCCCUCCUCUUCUCCCCGGCCCCGGUUGCCCGCCACCCCGAGCCAUCACACCUGCCGUUUCCCUGUCUUUUACCCCUCCUUGACCUCAAAUCCCUUGACCAGCAGAGCCCUACCCUAAUUUUCUCACCAGAGUCUCCUAAAUUCCUCUCUCUUCUCCCUUUGGCAGCACCUGACUCCCAGAUUUCGGCCAACCCUUGACCUCUUGACAUUUGACCCUGACACCCUUGAUUCCAAACCUCUAAAUCCUUACCUUCUGCAUCCUGUACGCUGAAUCCAAGGCCUUCCCCUGUUUUCCAACCCCCCCCCAUUUCUGAGACUCAUUUUUACUUUCUUACUCCGGCCAGUUCCUGCUACUGCUAUCGCAACAUGGACUUCUUGAUGAGUGGCCUGGCAGCCUGCGGAGCCUGUGUGUUCACCAAUCCCCUGGAGGUGGUGAAGACCAGGAUGCAGCUGCAAGGAGAACUGCGGGCCCCUGGCACAUACCAGAGGCACUACCGAAACGUUUUCCAUGCCUUCUUCACCAUCGGCAAGGUGGAUGGUCUGGCUGCCCUGCAGAAAGGCCUGGCUCCUGCCCUCUUGUACCAGUUCCUGAUGAAUGGCAUCCGGCUGGGCACCUAUGGACUGGCUGAAGCUGGGGGCUAUCUGCACACAGCCGAAGGCACCCUCAGUCCUCCCCGCAGUGCAGCUGCUGGGGCCCUGGCUGGGAUCAUGGGAGCCUAUGUGGGGAGUCCCAUCUACAUGGUGAAGACUCACCUACAAGCACAGGCAGCCUCAGAAAUUGCUGUAGGGCACCAGUAUAAGCAUCAGGGCAUGUUUCAGGCGCUUACCGAGAUUGGCCAGAAACAUGGUCUGGUGGGGUUGUGGCGUGGGGCUGUGGGCGGCCUGCCCCGAGUUAUCAUCGGUUCCUCCACCCAGCUGUGCACCUUCUCAUCCACCAAGGACCUCCUGAGCCAGUGGGAGAUCUUUCCUCCCCAGAGCUGGAAGGUGGCUCUGGCAGCUGCCAUGCUGAGUGGCAUCGCAGUGGUCCUGGCCAUGACACCCUUUGAUGUGGCCAGCACAAGGCUCUACAACCAGCCCACAGACGCACAGGGCAAGGGCCUCAUGUACCGGGGAAUACUGGACGCGCUGCUGCAGACGGCUCGGACUGAGGGCAUUUUGGGCAUGUACAAGGAUCCCCAAGUACUCAGCAACAUCAUGUAGUGCUUCACCUUUACUGGGGACCAAAGAUGUUAGGAUCAAGAAGGGCCAGACUGGUUACCAGCUGUUCAAAGUCACCCAGGCUCCAGGGUGGAGCCAGAUUCCCCUGGGAAUCUAGUCAUGAGGCACACCUGCCCUUUCCUUCCUUCUUACCAGGGCUGAUUGAAGCUACCUGCUGCUUGCCAGAGAGGAUCCAGGCUUCUUGACAGCAGCCUCUCAGGGCCAGGUUCUCCAAACUGAGAGGCUGCACAGACUCCACUUGGACAACCCUAGCCCCCUGCACCCCGCCAACGUCCUCAAAGUGGUACCUGGAAUGCAGGAGCAGGGUCAGGGAGGGACAUCUCUGAUCGCCUCCCAGGAGCAGCGUUAAGUUCUAGGCUUCACUCAAUUCCCGCGGUAUGUUAACUGCCCUUAGAGUUCUCAUUGCCCGGAAUAACCGUCCGGCCACAGGCCCCGCCCGCUUCCUCCGUUCCGGCCCUCCCAUUGGCCGGCGUGGCCUCUUCCCUCACCGCGCAGCCGCUUCGCCCCGCACGUGGGCCUGCAGCUCCAGAAGUUCCACGAUCAGGCUCUGGUCCGUCAUGGGAUGGCAGAAAACUUCUUGAUUGUCCGGUACUGGUCGGAGGUCGCUGGAGAGAGGCGAGGCAGAACAUGGUUGACCCCAGCUUCUUCCCGCAACCCACCCGGUCGGCGCCCGGGCCUUCUCACCUUAC
Carlito syrichta (Philippine tarsier) is the source of this 2076-nucleotide RNA transcript. It is a transcript of the gene named solute carrier family 25 member 35, with no coding region annotated. The record is from RefSeq and is a predicted model, not a curated record. NCBI's taxonomy places the organism in Eukaryota, Metazoa, Chordata, Mammalia, Primates, Tarsiidae. The transcript has 8 exons.